UAGAGUUUGAUCCUGGCUCAGGAUGAACGCUGGCGGCGUGCCUAAGAUAUGCAAGUCGAGCGGUAACACUUCGGGUGACGAGCAGCGGACGGCUUAGUAACGCGUAGGAACGUACCCCAAAGUGAGGGAUAAGCACCGGAAACGGUGUCUAAUACCGCAUGUGGUCUUCGGACUAAAGCCUUCGGGCGCUAUGGGAGCGGCCUGCGUAUGAUUAGCUUGUUGGUGAGGUAAAGGCUCACCAAGGCGACGAUCAUUAACUGGUCUGAGAGGAUGAUCAGUAAGACUGGGACUGAGACACGGCCCAGACCCCUACGGGGGGCAGCAAUUAGGAAUCUUUCGCAAUGGGGGAAACCCUGGCGGAGCAACGCCGCGUGCAGGAUGAAGGCCUUCGGGUUGUAAACUGCUUUUAAUAGAGAAGAUUAUGACGGUAACUAUUGAAUAAGGACCUGCUAACUACGUGCCAGCAGCCGCGGUAAUAC
Molecule: ribosomal RNA, 479 nt
Filed under: uncultured soil bacterium
Lineage: Bacteria
Description: bacterial SSU rRNA
Rfam family: Bacterial small subunit ribosomal RNA
Source: RNAcentral